Molecule: long non-coding RNA, 652 nt
Filed under: Bos taurus (domestic cattle)
Lineage: Eukaryota; Metazoa; Chordata; Mammalia; Artiodactyla; Bovidae
Description: long non-coding RNA NONBTAT020231
Source: RNAcentral
UGGAAUUUUCCUGCGUCCAAGAAAACAAUCACAGAAUACUGGUUUAAAUACUUUGAUACCUGUGGCUAAUUCUGCUGUCUUGAUGCAGGCUAUUAGAGUUGGAUUAGAAGUCAGUAAUUAGUGCUUUAUGCCAUCACUGAACUGAAACACAGUGAUCCUCGCUGAAGAUGGAGGGCACUCUGUCAGCGUGUACUGUCAGCGUACAAGGUGUUCUGGUAUCUUUGUUUUCGCUUCUUGGCAUACUGCUGUUUAAAAGGCUCGACUUUUACUCUCUACACAGUUUUCACCUUUACUUUCCGAGUGUUUUCUGUAGUGGGCUACUGUAGAGAGUGUGCUGUUCUAUCAUUCCUAAACCUGGUCUGCUUCCUCCAGUCACUGGUCCAGAGACCAUGUGACUCUUUGUACAGUUUAUCCUGGUGUUCCCUGUAAUGCAGUAGAGGCUACUUUGCCUUCCCUCUUCUUUCUCAGCCAUUUUGUAAACCCCGUAAUUAUGAAGCGGUUGCUUGAGAAAAUAACAGAUAAACAUAGAAUAGACUGACCAAGAUGGUUUAGAGUUUGUUUUUUUUUUUAACUAGGUUAUUUAUAAUGUAUUUCUGAACCACUUGGCAGAGAAAUUUACAACACUUAAUGUUCAUAUUUUGAGUAAAGAAAG